AUGUUUCCCGAGAACGGAUCACGGGGUUUAUUGGCUACAUCAACACCUAAGAAACAAGAGAAGAAUAAAUUUGGUGAAAUGGGGCUAGCAACUAAAGAGAUGAUUGACCCAAUAGUCGCCUACAGCCGGCCUCCACCACUUCCUCCUGUUAUAGGACCCUUGGUUGCUCUCUCAUUGUUGGAUACAUGGUGGAACCGCAAAGCUGAUGAUGACGGCUAG
Non-coding RNA from Vicia faba (fava bean), 219 nucleotides. The record is from the annotation of a GenBank genome assembly. NCBI's taxonomy places the organism in Eukaryota, Viridiplantae, Streptophyta, Magnoliopsida, Fabales, Fabaceae.